Molecule: ribosomal RNA, 644 nt
Filed under: bacterium HZ35-27
Lineage: Bacteria
Description: bacterial SSU rRNA
Rfam family: Bacterial small subunit ribosomal RNA
Source: RNAcentral
CCUACGGGAGGCAGCAGUAGGGAAUCUUCCGCAAUGGACGAAAGUCUGACGGAGCAACGCCGCGUGAGCGAUGAAGGCCUUCGGGUCGUAAAGCUCUGUUGUUAGGGAAGAAUAAGUGCUAGUUGAAUAAGCUGGCACCUUGACGGUACCUAACCAGAAAGCCACGGCUAACUACGUGCCAGCAGCCGCGGUAAUACGUAGGUGGCAAGCGUUGUCCGGAAUUAUUGGGCGUAAAGCGCGCGCAGGCGGUUUCUUAAGUCUGAUGUGAAAGCCCCCGGCUCAACCGGGGAGGGUCAUUGGAAACUGGGAAACUUGAGUGCAGAAGAGGAAAGUGGAAUUCCAAGUGUAGCGGUGAAAUGCGUAGAGAUUUGGAGGAACACCAGUGGCGAAGGCGACUUUCUGGUCUGUAACUGACGCUGAGCGCGAAAGCGUGGGGAGCAACAGGAUUAGAUACCCUGGUAGUCCACGCUGUAAACGAUGAGUGCUAAGUGUUAGAGGGUUUCCGCCCUUUAGUGCUGAAGUUAACGCAUUAAGCACUCCGCCUGGGGAGUACGGUCGCAAGACUGAAACUCAAAGGAAUUGACGGGGGCCCGCACAAGUGGUGGAGCAUGUGGUUUAAUUCGAAGCAACGCGAAGAACCUUAC